CCUGACUGCUAUCGGAUUGAUACUAAGCCAUGCGAGUCAUUGUAGUAAUACAAGGCAGACGGCUCAGUAACGCGUAGUCAACCUACCCUAUGGACGGGAAUAACCUCGGGAAACUGAGAAUAAUGCCCGAUAGAACAUUAUACCUGGAAUGGUUUAUGUUCCAAAUGAUUUACCGCCGUAGGAUGGGACUGCGUCCUAUCAGUUUGUUGGUGAGGUAAUGGCCCACCAAGACUAUUACAGGUACGGGCUCUGAGAGGAGUGGCCCGGAGAUGGGUACUGAGACACGGACCCAGGCCCUAUGGGGCGCAGCAGGCGAGAAAACUUUGCAAUGUGCGAAAGCACGACAAGGUUAAUCCGAGUGGUUUCUGCUAAAGGAACCUUUUGUCGGUCCUAGAAACACCGAUGAAUAAGGGGUGGGCAAGUUCUGGUGUCAGCCGCCGCGGUAAAACCAGCACCUCAAGUUGUCAGGAUGGUUAUUGGGCCUAAAGCAUCCGUAGCCGGCUCUGUUAGUUUUCGGUUAAAUCUGUACGCUUAACGUACAGGCUGCCGGGAAAUACUGCAGAGCUAGGGAGUGGGAGAGGUAGACGGUACUCGGUAGGAAGGGGUAAAA
Molecule: ribosomal RNA, 610 nt
Filed under: uncultured archaeon
Lineage: Archaea
Description: bacterial SSU rRNA
Rfam family: Archaeal small subunit ribosomal RNA
Source: RNAcentral